RNAcentral lists this ribosomal RNA (253 nucleotides) under uncultured bacterium. RNAcentral's name for it is "partial 16S ribosomal RNA". It matches the Rfam family "Bacterial small subunit ribosomal RNA", at positions 524 to 776 of the family's 1533-position model. The record is from RNAcentral.
UACGGAGGGGGCAAGCGUUAUUCGGAAUUAUUGGGCGUAAAGGGCGCGUAGGCGGCUAGAUGUGUCAAAGGUGAAAUCCCUCGGCUCAACUGAGGAACUGCCUUUGAAACUGUCUGGCUUGAGGCCGGGAGAGGGUAGCGGAAUUCCCAGUGUAGCGGUGAAAUGCGUAGAUAUUGGGAGGAACACCGGUGGCGAAGGCGGCAUCCUGGACCGGCAUUGACGCUGAGGAGCGAAAGCCAGGGGAGCAAACGGG